Long non-coding RNA from Chionomys nivalis (European snow vole), 2488 nucleotides. RefSeq lists it as uncharacterized. The record is from RefSeq and is a predicted model, not a curated record. NCBI's taxonomy places the organism in Eukaryota, Metazoa, Chordata, Mammalia, Rodentia, Cricetidae. The transcript is spliced from 6 exons.
UCCAACGAGCUCCGCGCGUCCGGGUCCGGGAGGGAGCCAAGGGCUCCCUGGUUCAAAGGGCCGCAGCCCAUGGGGAUGCCCUCCUCGUGUGCCCUGGGGUGCAGAAGCAGACUGCAGGGCGGUGGGACCAACCUGGGCCACGAAAAGGAGUGUUCUAGGAUUGGAGUGAGGACCUAGAAGUUGGGAAGAAACCCACGACAGGGCAACACCUGCGACAUGCUCCCCGUAUGGCCAGCACAUCCUUUGCCCAAAAGGUGGUAUCACUCCCAUCAACUUCCUAAACUCUUCAGGUGUUGAAGACACACGCACAAUGUCUGGGGGACUCUGGCAUCCGCCAACACCCUCCCUUAGAGUAUCCUAGAGUGACUUCUGAGGGGGGUUGGCCAGGGAUAUGGAAAUAAUUCUUGGACAGUUUGACUCACUGAAGAAAUAGAUGAAGCCGUUUGGUAACUAACCCAGGCUAUGACAAGUUGCAGGGAGACCGCGGAGAACUCAAUAAGAAGGAGCGGCGAGUGGAAUCAAAAACCCUCGGAAUGUUUGGAAGACUGAGCGAAGAUGGCUCCAAAUGAUAGGCUGGAAAUGGACGCUUCCCUCUCCCGAGUUGGUUUCUUCCUGGUCCUCUGCGAGAAGCUGUCUGCCUACGAUGAGCCUUUUGCAAACUUCUAGACUUUAUUAGAGUUUCCCCCCACCUUCUCUUCCUCUGAGUUCCCCUCUUCUCACGAAGUUAGCACGGGAGGGGAAAAGUGAUACCGGCGAAGGGAAGAGACAUAUUUUCUGCCCCCACCCCGCUUGCUUCUUAGUAAAGUGGCCUCAGUCUGAGCUACCCAGGGUCUUUCUAGGAACUGCUCUCUGAGAGUGGGAGAGCUUAUCCUCCUCCCUACCCGCCCCCAGCAGUUCUGUAUGCGCGUUUUAUAACCUAUCUCCCAGUGAAAAACAGUGCUGCGUAGAAACUGUGCAGACCGGUAGAACUGCUCUUCCCUAAACUGCGAUAGUGGGGACCCCCACUAGAAAAUAAGCACCCCAGCUAGAGGCGGAUCUUGUAGGAUUCAGGUUGGCGUGAGGAUGCCUGCUCAAUUGGAGAGUGCAGGAGAAGGGACUUCCGAGGAACCUUGUAAUACAAAAUGUGAAAUAUGUUUAUCCUAACUCUAUGCUCAGAAUCCUUGCCAAGAAAGGCAGAGUUGGUAGUUGUCAAAGCCAGCAGUGCCUCCUGUCCCCCAAACUCAUUUGCUUGAAGGGUCCCGCUCAGCCGAAGCCCCAAAUAAGAAAGAUGACAAACAGCAAUACUCAGGGCACUGUGCAAACGGUUACAAAGAAACUGCAGCUCCCUCUCCCUCUUAAAAAAAAAAUCCAUGGAAGUAAAAGCACUAGCAAUCUUAAACAAUUCCAUAAUCGGGACAGAAAGAGCAGAUACACUGUAAAUUCAUAGCUUACAGCACAAAUGUUUCCUGGCUUCCUGUGUCCUGCUUGGUAAAAAACAAACAAAAAACUAAACUUAGCUGGGUUCUUCUUUAACUGGAGAAGUGGCAAGAAUUAAAGGUUUUAAAAGUUUGUGGUUCAAAAAAGACUGGAUCUUGGAUACAUUUUGCCAGCUUACCACCCCUUGCAAACAAAACAGUGCCUUCUAACUUUGUUUUCUCAACUUUCUUUCUCAACCUCACCCCAAGUUUUUUGGUUUUUUCUUCUUCUCAGAACUUGAUGCAUUUUUCUUUGUUUCUACCAAAGUGUUUCUGACUUUGAUAAAUAUUAAUUAUCUGUCCUCUUCCUGGAGCUUUCCUACACUCCCCACUCACUUGUAUCAGCGAGGAACAGAUCCCCACCUCUAAGCCUGAAACAACGCCCUGGGUACCCCAUUGUGUGCUGAAUAACCACCACAGAAAUAGAUAUUAAAAUUAAAUAGCCACAAAACUAAGAGGGUGGGGGUAAACAUACCACAAGACAUGAUUUUUACUAACAAGGAAGUUAUAAGGUGAAUGGAUGUAAUGGGUGCCGCUUCUUCCUCUGUCAUGAUAUACGUACGACUAGCGAUAACUGGACCAUGAAGAGAAAUCUCUGCUUUUCUUCUCCUCUGUUAUUUUGUUAGAAAUCUUUCAGAACUGAACAAAUGCAGAAUGUUUGUUCUCAAAAAACAAACAAACAAAAAACUGUGUGCUUACUACUGCCGAGUAAAUCUUUAAAAGUAGGAUUAAAUAAGUAGGAUAUGAAAUAAUUUAAAAAACUCUGUCAAAAAGGUUCCUUCAAUAUUUUGGUUUUGAAAUGGUUGUGAGGGGAACAUUGUAAACGAAAUUACUGCCUCGGCAUGGUCCGUGUAAAUGUGAGUCCUGAAAUAUCAAUGAGGGUAACAGGGGCCAUAGAGCAAUGUGAGCCAGGCUGGGGUUGUACUCCCUGACCCUGUGUGAAUCUGGGAAAGGCGAAGGUGCACCUCAGUCUUCUAUAUUUUUCCUUCCCUCUUUCAAUAUGGAAUCUUGUUUCAAUUUAUGUUCCAGAAUAA